GCGGACCCAGAACCGACCCCUGCGGGACA
RNAcentral lists this small RNA (29 nucleotides) under Bombyx mori (domestic silkworm). RNAcentral describes it as "ovarian small RNA-1020". The record is from RNAcentral. Lineage: Eukaryota; Metazoa; Arthropoda; Insecta; Lepidoptera; Bombycidae.